GCUGGGGGACAGGUACUUCCUGCCUAACUAGCUGAAGCCUACUGUGGUCAGGGGACCCUGAGGAAGCCAGAGCCAGCUUGAGCCCAGCUCCUUCCUGGAAGCCGGUUCCUGGCAGUGAGAGGAUGGGACACCCAGUGUGCCCUGUGACCCUGUGGCUUUAGACCCCACCCACUUCUGCAGGCUGGUGGGGUCAGGCAGCCAGCUGUAUGAAUGAGGUAUGGUUACUGGGGU
RNAcentral lists this long non-coding RNA (231 nucleotides) under Fukomys damarensis (Damara mole-rat). RNAcentral's name for it is "lncRNA (ENSFDAG00000026265.1)". Lineage: Eukaryota; Metazoa; Chordata; Mammalia; Rodentia; Bathyergidae. The record is from RNAcentral.